AUUGAACGCUGGCGGCAGGCCUAACACAUGCAAGUCGAACGGUAACAAGAAGAAGCUUGCUUCUUUGCUGACGAGUGGCGGACGGGUGAGUAAUGUCUGGGAAACUGCCUGAUGGAGGGGGAUAACUACUGGAAACGGUAGCUAAUACCGCAUAACGUCGCAAGACCAAAGAGGGGGACCUUCGGGCCUCUUGCCAUCGGAUGUGCCCAGAUGGGAUUAGCUAGUAGGUGGGGUAACGGCUCACCUAGGCGACGAUCCCUAGCUGGUCUGAGAGGAUGACCAGCCACACUGGAACUGAGACACGGUCCAGACUCCUACGGGAGGCAGCAGUGGGGAAUAUUGCACAAUGGGCGCAAGCCUGAUGCAGCCAUGCCGCGUGUAUGAAGAAGGCCUUCGGGUUGUAAAGUACUUUCAGCGGGGAGGAAGGGAGUAAAGUUAAUACCUUUACUCAUUGACGUUACCCGCAGAAGAAGCACCGGCUAACUCCGUG
This 490-nucleotide ribosomal RNA is filed under the name uncultured bacterium. RNAcentral's name for it is "partial 16S ribosomal RNA". It matches the Rfam family "Bacterial small subunit ribosomal RNA", at positions 30 to 507 of the family's 1533-position model. The record is from RNAcentral.